This 494-nucleotide ribosomal RNA is filed under the name uncultured bacterium. RNAcentral describes it as "bacterial SSU rRNA". It matches the Rfam family "Bacterial small subunit ribosomal RNA", at positions 903 to 1397 of the family's 1533-position model. The record is from RNAcentral.
AAAUGAAUAGACGGGGACCCGCACAAGCGGUGGAGCAUGUGGUUUAAUUCGAAGCAACGCGAAGAACCUUACCAAGUCUUGACAUCGGAAUGACAGCCUUAUAACUAAGGUCUCCCUACGGGGCAUUCUAGACAGGUGGUGCAUGGUUGUCGUCAGCUCGUGUCGUGAGAUGUUGGGUUAAGUCCCGCAACGAGCGCAACCCUUAUCCUUAGUAGCCAGCAGUUCGGCUGGGCACUCUGGGGAGACUGCCAGGGAUAACCUGGAGGAAGGUGGGGAUGACGUCAAAUCAUCAUGCCCCUUAUGAUUUGGGCUACACACGUGCUACAAUGGCGUAAACAAAGGGAAGCGAAGGAGCGAUCUGGAGCAAACCCCAAAAAUAACGUCUCAGUUCGGAUUGUAGUCUGCAACUCGACUACAUGAAGCUGGAAUCGCUAGUAAUCGCAGAUCAGAAUGCUGCGGUGAAUACGUUCCCGGGUCUUGUACACACCGCCCGU